UUAACAAAGACUAAUAGGGAAAAAUCAAUGGUGGUAUUACACCUAUUUAGGGAAACCAUAUGUGCACUCGUGACCUUUUUGUACUUUCAUUUUUAAAAGUUAUAAAUAAACCAGUUCAUACAUUGUAAACAUGGACAAUUCGGAAUGGAUUUAGACACAGAAAGCACGUUUGAGGUAAAAUUGCCUUGAAAUGGGGGUUUACGGGUGUUUUCUAAGUCAAAUGGGUGGACAGACAAAGCUGUAUUUAGUUUACUGUGUUAAAUUUUAAAUUACCCUUACAGUUUUGUUUAUACAACAUGUGAAUUUUUUAUUUCAGUGUUAAUCAUGUUCUGAAGAGCAUUCUGUUGAAAAAUCUUAUAUGUGAAUUGGUUUGCAGAUGACACUUCAGAAUUAAAACAAAAGAUAUCAAGUUUUGAUGAAAAAGGAAGGAAGGAGGAAAAAUGGACCAAAACAGACCAAAACAGACCUUCAAAUGAACUCUAAAAGGUGCAAUAAAAUUGUUUAUCAUCUUAAAGUUGUCUUUUGUAUUCUAUUUAAUUGUUUGAAUGCAUAGAUCAUGAGUUUAUGAUCAGAUAGUAGUCAACACUGCAUUUUAUAAUGAUACACUGAAAUGAGGAUUUUUCGAACAAAUUAGACUGAAAUUGCCGUAGGAUAUGGCCUUACAUUAUAGUGAUUUUCUCUGAAAAUAUAGCUCUGACUGUGACAAAAAUUGACAGUUAUGCUUGAAAUAACUUGCAACUGGAGGGAAAAAAAUUACAUUAAGUUUAUUUGAUAUUUAGGUGUUCUUUAGGGAAACCAUAUGUGCACUCGUGACCUUUUUGUACUUUCAUUUUUAAAAGUUAUAAAUAAACCAGUUCAUACAUUGUAAACAUGGACAAUUCGGAAUGGAUUUAGACACAGAAAGCACGUUUGAGUGUUAAUCAUGUUCUGAAGAGCAUUCUGUUGAAAAAUCUUAUAUGUGAAUUGGUUUGCAGAUGACACUUCAGAAUUAAAACAAAAGAUAUCAAGUUUUGAUGAAAAAGGAAGGAAGGAGGAAAAAUGGACCAAAACAGACCAAAACAGACCUUCAAAUGAACUCUAAAAGGUGCAAUAAAAUUGUUUAUCAUCUUAAAGUUGUCUUUUGUAUUCUAUUUAAUUGUUUGAAUGCAUAGAUCAUGAGUUUAUGAUCAGA
Molecule: long non-coding RNA, 1171 nt
Organism: Mytilus trossulus (common blue mussel)
Lineage: Eukaryota; Metazoa; Mollusca; Bivalvia; Mytilida; Mytilidae
Exons: 5
Source: RefSeq, a predicted model, not a curated record